Tribolium castaneum (red flour beetle) is the source of this 116-nucleotide non-coding RNA. RefSeq annotates it as microRNA mir-3817. The record is from RefSeq and is marked provisional. NCBI's taxonomy places the organism in Eukaryota, Metazoa, Arthropoda, Insecta, Coleoptera, Tenebrionidae. The transcript has a single exon.
UCCAAGGUUGCUGCGAGAUAACUGGGGCCAGUUUCGGGGUGUGGGAGUGGUAUUAUUUUUUUAAAGUAAUAUUGCUCACUACACCUCCAAAUUGGUCUUGGUACUUCAACCGACUA